RNAcentral lists this ribosomal RNA (492 nucleotides) under uncultured bacterium. RNAcentral describes it as "partial 16S ribosomal RNA". It matches the Rfam family "Bacterial small subunit ribosomal RNA", at positions 29 to 507 of the family's 1533-position model. The record is from RNAcentral.
AGUGAACGCUGGCGGUAGGCCUAACACAUGCCAGUCGAACGGCAGCACAGUAAGAGCUUGCUCUUACGGGUGGCGAGUGGCGGACGGGUGAGGAAUACAUCGGAAUCUACUUUUUCGUGGGGGAUAACGUAGGGAAACUUACGCUACUACCGCAUACGACCUACGGGUGAAAGCAGGGGAUCUUCGGACCUUGCGCGAUUGAAUGAGCCGAUGUCGGAUUAGCUAGUUGGCGGGGUAAAGGCCCACCAAGGCGACGAUCCGUAGCUGGUCUGAGAGGAUGAUCAGCCACACUGGAACUGAGACACGGUCCAGACUCCUACGGGAGGCAGCAGUGGGGAAUAUUGGACAAUGGGCGCAAGCCUGAUCCAGCCAUGCCGCGUGGGUGAAGAAGGCCUUCGGGUUGUAAAGCCCUUUUGUUGGGAAAGAAAAGCAGCAGGUUAAUACCCCGCUGUUCUGACGGUACCCAAAGAAUAAGCACCGGCUAACUUCGUG